GUAGGGAAUAUUGGGCAAUGGAAGCAAUUCUGACCCAGCCAUGCCGCGUGAAGGAAUACAGCCCUAUGGGUUUUAAACUUCUUUUAUUAUAGAGUAAACGGAGGUACGUGUACCUCCCUGCAAGUAUAUGAUGAAUAAGGAUCGGCUAACUCCGUGCCAGCAGCCGCGGUAAUACGGAGGAUCCAAGCGUUAUCCGGAUUUAUUGGGUUUAAAGGGUGCGCAGGCGGAUCAAUAAGUCAGGGGUGAAAAAUUUCAGCUUAACUGGAAUCGUGCCUUUGAUACUGUUGGACUAGAGUAUAAUUGACGUGUCUGGAAUGUGAUGUGUAGCGGUGAAAUGCUUAGAUAUGUCACAGAACGCCAAUCGUGAAGACAGGUCACGAAAUUAUUACUGACGCUCAUGCACGAAAGCGUGGGGAUCAAACAGGAUUAGAAACCCCGGUAGUCC
Molecule: ribosomal RNA, 445 nt
Filed under: uncultured bacterium
Lineage: Bacteria
Description: partial 16S ribosomal RNA
Rfam family: Bacterial small subunit ribosomal RNA
Source: RNAcentral